RNAcentral lists this ribosomal RNA (429 nucleotides) under Bacteroidota bacterium. RNAcentral's name for it is "Bacteroidetes bacterium partial 16S ribosomal RNA". It matches the Rfam family "Bacterial small subunit ribosomal RNA", at positions 355 to 776 of the family's 1533-position model. The record is from RNAcentral. Lineage: Bacteria; Pseudomonadati; Bacteroidota.
UAGGGAAUCUUCGGCAAUGGGGGGAACCCUGACCGAGCAACGCCGCGUGAGUGAAGAAGGUUUUCGGAUCGUAAAGCUCUGUUGUUAAGGAAGAACGAGUGUGAGAAUGGAAAGUUCAUACUGUGACGGUACUUAACCAGAAAAGGACGGCUAACUACGUGCCAGCAGCCGCGGUAAUACGUAGGUCCCGAGCGUUGUCCGGAUUUAUUGGGCGUAAAGCGAGCGCAGGCGGUUAGAUAAGUCUGAAGUUAAAGGCAGUGGCUCAACCAUUGUAGGCUUUGGAAACUGUUUAACUUGAGUGCAGAAGGGGAGAGUGGAAUUCCAUGUGUAGCGGUGAAAUGCGUAGAUAUAUGGAGGAACACCGGUGGCGAAAGCGGCUCUCUGGUCUGUAACUGACGCUGAGGCUCGAAAGCGUGGGUAGCAAACAGG